RNAcentral lists this ribosomal RNA (429 nucleotides) under Gemmatimonadota bacterium. RNAcentral describes it as "Gemmatimonadetes bacterium partial 16S ribosomal RNA". It matches the Rfam family "Bacterial small subunit ribosomal RNA", at positions 355 to 776 of the family's 1533-position model. Lineage: Bacteria; Pseudomonadati; Gemmatimonadota. The record is from RNAcentral.
UAGGGAAUCUUCGGCAAUGGACGAAAGUCUGACCGAGCAACGCCGCGCGAGUGAAGAAGGUUUUCGGAUCGUAAAACUCUGUUGUUAGAGAAGAACAAGGACGUUAGUAACUGAACGUCCCCUGACGGUAUCUAACCAGAAAGCCACGGCUAACUACGUGCCAGCAGCCGCGGUAAUACGUAGGUGGCAAGCGUUGUCCGGAUUUAUUGGGCGUAAAGCGAGCGCAGGCGGUUUCUUAAGUCUGAUGUGAAAGCCCCCGGCUCAACCGGGGAGGGUCAUUGGAAACUGGGGGACUUGAGUGCAGAAGAGGGGAGUGGAAUUCCAUGUGUAGCGGUGAAAUGCGUAGAUAUAUGGAGGAACACCAGUGGCGAAGGCGGCUCUCUGGUCUGUAACUGACGCUGAGGCGCGAAAGCGUGGGGAGCAAACAGG